CGGGGUGUGGCGCAGUUGGUAGCGCGCUUGACUGGGGGUCAAGAGGCCGCAGGUUCAAGUCCUGUCACUCCGACCA
Molecule: transfer RNA, 76 nt
Filed under: Clostridia bacterium
Lineage: Bacteria; Bacillati; Bacillota; Clostridia
Description: tRNA-Pro
Rfam family: tRNA
About the family: Transfer RNA (tRNA) molecules are approximately 80 nucleotides in length. Their secondary structure includes four short double-helical elements and three loops (D, anti-codon, and T loops).
Source: RNAcentral